GGUGGUAAUGCCGGAUGCUCCAGUUGAUCGCAUGGUCUUCUGGGAAAGCUUUCGCGGUAUGGGAUGGGGUCGCGUCCUAUCAGCUUGACGGCGGGGUAACGGCCCACCGUGGCUUCGACGGGUAGCCGGCCUGAGAGGGCGACCGGCCACAUUGGGACUGAGAUACGGCCCAGACUCCUACGGGAGGCAGCAGUGGGGAAUAUUGCACAAUGGGCGCAAGCCUGAUGCAGCGACGCCGCGUGAGGGAUGGAGGCCUUCGGGUUGUAAACCUCUUUUAUCGGGGAGCAAGCGUGAGUGAGUUUACCCGUUGAAUAAGCACCGGCUAACUACGUGCCAGCAGCCGCGGUAAUACGUAGGGUGCAAGCGUUAUCCGGAAUUAUUGGGCGUAAAGGGCUCGUAGGCGGUUCGUCGCGUCCGGUGUGAAAGUCCAUCGCUUAACGGUGGAUCCGCGCCGGGUACGGGCGGGCUUGAGUGCGGUAGGGGAGACUGGAAUUCCCGGUGUAACGGUGGAAUGUGUAGAUAUCGGA
This 527-nucleotide ribosomal RNA is filed under the name Bifidobacterium longum subsp. suillum. RNAcentral describes it as "bacterial SSU rRNA". It matches the Rfam family "Bacterial small subunit ribosomal RNA", at positions 159 to 701 of the family's 1533-position model. The record is from RNAcentral. Lineage: Bacteria; Bacillati; Actinomycetota; Actinomycetes; Bifidobacteriales; Bifidobacteriaceae.